Molecule: ribosomal RNA, 253 nt
Filed under: uncultured bacterium
Lineage: Bacteria
Description: partial 16S ribosomal RNA
Rfam family: Bacterial small subunit ribosomal RNA
Source: RNAcentral
UACAGAGACCUCAAGCGUUAUCCGGAUUUAUUGGGCGUAAAGCGCAGGUAGGCGGGUCUGUUAGUCGUAUGUUAAAGCUCGGGGCUUAACCCCGAAGAAGCAUACGAAACGGCAGGUCUGGAGAAUGUGAGAGAUCAGUGGAAUUGAUGGUGUAGUAGUGAAAUGCGUUGAUAUCAUCAAGAACACCCAAGGCGAAGGCAACUGAUUGGCACACUUCUGACGCUGAGCUGCGAAAGCGUGGGUAGCGAAUGGG